UACGAAGGGGGCUAGCGUUGCUCGGAAUCACUGGGCGUAAAGCGCACGUAGGCGGCUUUCUAAGUCAGGGGUGAAAUCCUGGAGCUCAACUCCAGAACUGCCUUUGAUACUGGAAGGCUUGAGUCCGGGAGAGGUGAGUGGAACUGCGAGUGUAGAGGUGAAAUUCGUAGAUAUUCGCAAGAACACCAGUGGCGAAGGCGGCCCACUGGCCCGGUACUGACGCUGAGGUGCGAAAGCGUGGGGAGCAAACAGG
This 253-nucleotide ribosomal RNA is filed under the name uncultured bacterium. RNAcentral's name for it is "partial 16S ribosomal RNA". It matches the Rfam family "Bacterial small subunit ribosomal RNA", at positions 524 to 776 of the family's 1533-position model. The record is from RNAcentral.